Molecule: ribosomal RNA, 267 nt
Filed under: uncultured bacterium
Lineage: Bacteria
Description: partial 16S ribosomal RNA
Rfam family: Bacterial small subunit ribosomal RNA
Source: RNAcentral
GUUAGUUAGUGGCGGACGGGUGAGUAACGCGUGGGUAACCUGCCGUAUACCGGGGGAUAACACCUGGAAACAGGUGCUAAUACCGCAUAAGCGCACGGGACCGCAUGGUCCAGUGUGAAAAACCGAGGUGGUAUGCGAUGGACCCGCGUCUGAUUAGCCAGUUGGCAGGGUAACGGCCUACCAAAGCGACGAUCAGUAGCCGGCCUGAGAGGGUGGACGGCCACAUUGGGACUGAGACACGGCCCAAACUCCUACGGAAGGCAGCAG